AAAAGAGGUGGGUGUCUUUCCUUGAUUGCUUUAUUGCUGUUUGUUAGAGAGUCAAUGUCACAUUUAGGAAUGGGUAACAAAUCAAUAUUUUUAUUCAAAAUGGGCCAAAAAUUGAAUGGCUGAUAGCAAUAUCAAUUGAGGAAAAUCAGCAUUUAGAUUUCUGAAACUGUUGGAGCAAUAGGCGAAGCAAUCCCAUGAAUUUGAAGAAAGUGCUUAUGGAGAUACAGUUUAGACUUCACAACUAUCUUCAUGUUAGAUUUGUGAUUCAAAUCUUAGCAAGAUUUAGAUAGACUUUUUCCUAAUUUGACUGGAAGGAAUAUUUCAUAAUAGGAUAGAGCUAUGUUUUCUGUAUGGAUUAGAACGCCUAAGGUGGAGAAGGGCAUAAUCUAAGAGAAAUAGGCUAUUAUCUAUUAUAGUUGAAUACACACUUUAUGAUAAAGGGUGAUAUAGUAGUUAAAGUAGUAAAUAUAU
RNAcentral lists this unclassified non-coding RNA (471 nucleotides) under Hevea brasiliensis (rubber tree). The record is from RNAcentral. Lineage: Eukaryota; Viridiplantae; Streptophyta; Magnoliopsida; Malpighiales; Euphorbiaceae.